This 251-nucleotide ribosomal RNA is filed under the name uncultured bacterium. RNAcentral describes it as "partial 16S ribosomal RNA". It matches the Rfam family "Bacterial small subunit ribosomal RNA", at positions 85 to 339 of the family's 1533-position model. The record is from RNAcentral.
UGGGUGGCGAGUGGCGAACGGGUGAGUAACGCGUAGGAAUAUACCUUGAAGAGGGGGAUAACAUGGGGAAACUCAUGCUAAUACCGCAUAAUAUCUAAGGAUGAAAGCUGGGGACCUUUGGGCCUGGCGCUUUAAGAUUAGCCUGCGUCCGAUUAGCUAGUUGGUGGGGUAAGGGCCUACCAAGGCGACGAUCGGUAGCUGGUCUGAGAGGAUGGCCAGCCACACUGGGACUGAGACACGGCCCAGACUCC